Long non-coding RNA from Acanthopagrus latus (yellowfin seabream), 1876 nucleotides. RefSeq lists it as uncharacterized. The transcript has 3 exons. The record is from RefSeq and is a predicted model, not a curated record. Lineage: Eukaryota; Metazoa; Chordata; Actinopteri; Spariformes; Sparidae.
CUGAUCAGGAGAAAAUGUGGCAGAUAAAUAACCAAGCUUUUGCUCCCCGUGCAGUUAAUACGAUGGCAUUAAGAUUAAUUUAUCCUUUUUAUUAUUAUAAUUAUUAUCGUUAUUGCUGACUUCCAACAAAACAGUAUAAGAAAGAGAAGUGAUAUCCUGUUAGUUGCUCGCUGGCAACAUUAAUUAUUCUUCUCAAUUAUCACAUUUUCUUUAAUAUCUUAAUAAGACAAACGAUUGCAUUAAUGUUAUGUGACAAAUAAAUAUAAAGCGUAUUUAAUUCUCGAGCAUUUUCUUCAUUAUGAUGAGCUGUUGAAGGUUUGAGACUCGUCUUGCUGUUGGAAUCAAACAAUCCUUACUGUUUUCCUCUCAAGGUUGAUUUUACACUCAUAAACAUUUUUAUUACAAUUUGACUUUGAGCUUUGUCUUGUGUUUUUUUCUGCAUCCAUGCGUGUGGAUCUCUUAUCUGCGGCUCGCUCGGCCUCCAGCACGGUACAUGGCGUUAAAAGCUCGCAUCUAAAGGCAAGUACAUUUGAGCUCUGCGUAAAAAAAAAAACGCGCUCGAACAAAACUGGAAGCGAUAUAUAUUUUUUUGUUUGUUUAAUUCGGUUGUGGAAUGAUCUUUAAAUCGUAGAUGCCAGCGCCACGGCACGGAGAGAGCUUUCAUCCCUUCGUCGAAAUAAAAUUCCUCCAUCUUUUUUUUUUUUUUUUCCUGCCUUCAGCAUAUCCAGAAAUAACCGCGUAAAGCUUCGAAAUCGCUUGGACCUGAUCGCUUUCGUCGACACGGAUUGUCAGAGCAGUUGUGGAGCAGUGUGUAUAUGUGUGUGUGUGAGUGUGUGUGUGUGUGUGUGUAGCUGAGUUAUUCCUCGCCGCAUCCAGCGCGCUCCUCAGUAUGGGGAGCGGAACACAGGCCGCAAUGUGGCCGAGUGAGAUAAGCGCACGGCAGCGGCCUCUUCAUUCCCGAUAAGCCCCUAAACCCAUUAUUUAUGAAAUGAUUCAUUAUUAUUUGGCUGUCGUGGGCUAUAUAGGCUUGUGGAGGGCAAAGCAUUAAAAAAAAGGCAAACAGGCACAGCGCAACGGCCUGUAACAACGUGAGGUGGUGUUACUGUAGCCCGAGCUGAGGUGUUUUAAAUUAUUUUUUAUUUUUUUUAUUUUUUGAUGGAAGAAACAAAAGCGCAGGUUAAGCUUGUGACCUAUUUAUAUUACCGACAAAGGGUUUUUUUCUUUUCCUUUCUUUUGUCACUAAGCCCAUUUAUCCAGCAUUAAGAUAACCAACGACAGCAGAGGGUUGUCUAUCUUUUUCAUUUUUAUUUUCUAUCUUUAAAAAAGAAAAGAGUAUAUCCAUUCCUUCAUAUCCAUUUCUGCGCCUUGAGGCAGGAUGUAGCCCACUGAUAGGCCAACACAGAAAAAGAAAAAAAAAAACGAUGAAGGGGUGUAAUUGCGAUAACGACCCCUUAAUUGAAUGGGGACACGAGUAUUUAUCGAUCCAGGGGAAUAAAUAAUGAAAUAAAUAGAUAGAUAAAUAAACGCCGUGUUGCGUGUCAGUGUGUGUGUGUGUGUGUGUGUGUGUGUGUGUGUGUGUGUGUGUGUGUGUGUGUGUGUGUGUGUGUCGGGCGGCGGUUCCCUCGGGGUCCCAACGCAAAAGGAGUCGUGGCUGCGGGAGAUAAACGCGUAUCGGCUCCUGGUCGCAUCAGAUAAAUGGAGCCUGCGCGCUAUCAGGACCCGUCCAGGCCUGUCUGAAUGGCAGCAGGUUUUGGUCCAUCGGCAGUGUUUCAAAGUGGCGAGUUUACAAUCCAGAGACGGGCACCGUGCCACCGACUCCUUGUCAGCGCUGGCUGCGUCGUGCCGGCAUGAUCCGAAGGGAGGCGGUGCUUUCCCG